GGGGAUGCUUGGUUUCGACAGGGAGGGCCAAUCGUAAGUGGCAAGCCGAGACGCUGAGCCUCGUUAAAUCGGCAACGCCAUUAACUGGCAAAAACACUUUCCGCGCUCCUGUAGCGCUUGCUGCCUAAUUAAGGCAACACGUCUCUACUAGCCUCAGCCCGAUGGGCUUGUAGCGGCGACACUUAGUCGGGUCGCUCCCCUAGUUAUGUCUGUGGGCUAGGGGCUAAGAUUAACAGGCUGGUCGUGGCCCGCUUUGUCUAUCGGGUGGUGCACCGAUAAGAUUUAAUCAAUAGACUACGCUUGUAGAUGCUUGCGGUUUAACUUUUUGGACGCGGGUUCGAUUCCCGCCAUCUCCACCA
Molecule: non-coding RNA, 359 nt
Organism: Herpetosiphon aurantiacus DSM 785
Lineage: Bacteria; Bacillati; Chloroflexota; Chloroflexia; Herpetosiphonales; Herpetosiphonaceae
Source: Rfam